GCGUUAAGUCGACGUCUGAGGGAGUACGGCCGCAAGGUUAAAACUCAAAUGAAUUCUACUGGGGGCCCGCACAAGCGGUGGAGCAUGUGGUUUAAUUCGAUGCAACGCGAAGAACCUUACCUACUCUUGACAUCCACGGAAUUCGGCAGAGAUGCCUUAGUGCCUUCGGGAACCGUGAGACAGGUGCUGCAUGGCUGUCGUCAGCUCGUGUUGUGAAAUGUUGGGUUAAGUCCCGCAACGAGCGCAACCCUUAUCCUUUGUUGCCAGCGAUUCGGUCGGGAACUCAAAGGAGACUGCCGGUGAUAAACCGGAGGAAGGUGGGGAUGACGUCAAGUCAUCAUGGCCCUUACGAGUAGGGCUACACACGUGCUACAAUGGCGCAUACAAAGAGAAGCGACCUCGCGAGAGCAAGCGGACCUCACAAAGUGCGUCGUAGUCCG
Molecule: ribosomal RNA, 440 nt
Filed under: Pantoea sp. J3-AN47
Lineage: Bacteria; Pseudomonadati; Pseudomonadota; Gammaproteobacteria; Enterobacterales; Erwiniaceae
Description: bacterial SSU rRNA
Rfam family: Bacterial small subunit ribosomal RNA
Source: RNAcentral